AGUUCUCUGGAGGAGAAACUGUAGAGCCGUCUGGACUUCUUGCCUAGGUGUGUGUAGAGGGUACUAUGGACUUCUUGCCUAGGUUUGUGUGGAGAAGAGAGUCAAGCAGUACUUGAGUGAUUUGAAUUUUUGUUGAGAAAAACAAAGUGAAAAAAAAUUUUUUGACAUCAGAUAUGUUGUUUUAACCUCCGGGGCAGAUUUUAUUUUUCUCUUUUACUUUUUGUUUUUAUCCUUUUGUACUAUUUUUAAAGACAGGAAUGAGAAGAAAUUAUCCCUGGACCAUUCCUCCCAGUGAAAAACAUGAAAUGUGACUAUCCGGAAAUGGAGUGUGAUCACAGGGGCAUGUAUGGCUGAGUCAUCCAAAAUGCUGACUGUCGUGUAGGGCUCUGUGGUUUUGGUGGGUUUCUUACCUGCUCUGUGCUCUGGUUACUUCAUCAAUGUGAUGGAGAUGAUAAUCUCAUUGGAUGUUGUGAUUUACUGAGAUCAUUCUUGUUAAUUCUUAGAAUAGUCCCUGGUACACAGCAAGCGGUUCAUGAUUGUUAUUGUGUGAUUAUAUCCAGAUUCUAUUAUGUCAUGUUACUAUGCUAUCGAAGAUUCGAGUUCCUUGGUGCACUGAUAUGAUCUUUGAAACUCAGAGCAAAUGUUACCUGGGCCAAUGUUACAUGAAUAUUUGGCCAUUAAGGUCAGACAAAGAAGCCAACCUAGCCAGUUACUCUUUCACUGAAGUAUGGUUUGUCUGCCAUUGUCAUUGGGAGCGCAUAGAACCUCCUCAAGCUGAGUGGGCAGGGCCCGUGUGGCUGUCCGAAGGGCGUCUUGUGUAGCUGCUCCCGUGUUGAGAAUAUAGCACUUUGAAAACAGCCUUGGCAAGAACCACCCUUGCUGUUCACCAGCUCGUCCACUAACCAGCUGUGUAUACCCUAGGUCAGGCCAGCUGUUUA
Cercocebus atys (sooty mangabey) is the source of this 938-nucleotide long non-coding RNA. RefSeq lists it as uncharacterized. NCBI's taxonomy places the organism in Eukaryota, Metazoa, Chordata, Mammalia, Primates, Cercopithecidae. The record is from RefSeq and is a predicted model, not a curated record. The transcript is spliced from 2 exons.